AGGACGAACGCUGGCGGCGUGCUUAACACAUGCAAGUCGAACGGAGUAAAACGCUGAUUUGAUGGUAGCUUGCUACUGGAUUUCUUGUUUACUUAGUGGCGGACGGGUGAGUAACGCGUGAGUAACCUGCCUCUAAGUGGGGAAUAACGUUCUGAAAAGAACGCUAAUACCGCAUAAUGUUAGUUUACCGCAUGAUAGACUAACCAAAGAUUUAUCGCUUAGAGAUGGACUCGCGUCCGAUUAGCUAGUUGGUGGGGUAACGGCCUACCAAGGCGACGAUCGGUAGCCGGACUGAGAGGUUGAACGGCCACAUUGGGACUGAGACACGGCCCAGACUCCUACGGGAGGCAGCAGUGGGGGAUAUUGCGCAAUGGGGGAAACCCUGACGCAGCAACGCCGCGUGAAGGAAGACGGUUUUCGGAUUGUAAACUUCUUUUAUAAGGGACGAAAUUGACGGUACCUUAUGAAUAAGCUCCGGCUAACUACGUG
This 489-nucleotide ribosomal RNA is filed under the name uncultured bacterium. RNAcentral describes it as "bacterial SSU rRNA". It matches the Rfam family "Bacterial small subunit ribosomal RNA", at positions 26 to 507 of the family's 1533-position model. The record is from RNAcentral.